UUCAAGGUCCUCCUGCCUCAGCCUCCUGAGCAGCUGGGGCUCCGGCGGGUGCCUGUGUGCCCAGCUCUGUCAGCCUAUUUCUUAAGCACAAUUUUCUCUUCCAGGCUUAACCAACCACUCCAGGGCUCUGACUUAUCUAUUUCCAAAACACUCUAAUUAUUUAUGAUUUCAUGGAAAAGCCUAAAUUCUCCAUGCUCCAGAGGCACACUCUCAUGACCUCCUUCCCUGCAUUUUCUUACAUUUCAUUGAUUGGAGUCAGUCUCUUUGGGUUAUUCAGAAACAGUUUAUAAAACACGGGAACAUAAGAGAACCUUGCAAAUUCCACGGCUCGCGGGGAGGUGGUUUGAUUAGCUUGAAGGACACACUUAAAAUGCUCAUAGUAAGUCACUUCAGAAUGGCUCACGGGGAGAGUCGACUCAGUCUCUCCCUCCUCCACUUGGGUGAUAUUCAGUGUGAGUCAGAAGGGUCGGGAAGGUAGAGGACAAGAAAAUCCAUGGCACGCCAUUACCUUCUAUCACAACUCCCUUCCCACCGUUGGCUGCAAAGUUGGAAAACAUGACAACAUAUGUACAAUAGACAAUUCGUUGAUAUUACACACUGUCAAAUAAUGCCUGCUUUCUAGACUUCACAGCCAACCUGGGUUUAAGAAAAUUGGAUCCUUUAAUCUGAAAUGGAGUCGACCACCACUCUUCCCACUGUUUCUGCCCUGUCUUGGAGGGUUUUGAUGCAGAGUAUCAUCCAGAAGGGAAAACUAUGUCAGAAACCACUAAAUAUUUGAACCAAGCACAGCAUGUACAGUUAACACCCCACACCGAGUGGCAAACUCAGAGCACUCACCCCAAGUACUCCUGCAAUUCUAAUCCAUCUGAAAGGUUGAGCAUUAUAAUUUACUCUUUUAUUUGUUUGUUUGGGAUACCAGGGAGUGAAUCCAGGAGCAUUUAAUCACUGAGCCACAUCCCCACCCCUUUUUAUUUUUUAUUUUGAGAUAGGGUCUCGCUCAAGUUGCUUAGGGCCUUGCUAAAUCGCUGAGGCUGACUUUGAACUUAGGAUCCUCUUGCUUCAGCCUCCCAAGCAGCCGGAAUUACAGGCAUGUACCACCAUGCCUGGCAUAUUUUACUUUUUUAUAAAAAGGAAAACUAGGGUUCUUAGCAAACUGAGUAACUUCCUCAAGGUUCCAAGGUCAGUAAUUCAUAGAUUCUGGUCUCAAACCUGGGCCCCAAGGCUGAAAAUGUCAGGCUUUUUUGACUAUAAGAAACAUUUGGCAAGCCACGCCUACUAACAGAAUCUGGCUGCCUGCCUGUUAUCACACCACCUGUGAACUAAGACUGAUUUUUGUAUUUUUCUAAAUGGUUGGUGGAGGGGACAAAUGAAGAAUAUGCAACUCAUGAAAAUAAUACAGAACCCAAAUUCCAGGGUCCAUAAAUAAAGUUUCCUUAGAGCACAGCUGAGUAUCACCCAGCAGGAGAGCCUGGAAUAUAUACUGUCUGGCCCUUCAGAGGAACAGCUCCCAGCCCCUCACUGCACUGGAAGUGCUGUCAGUCAUCGAGUACUUAAAGGACUAGCAGAGCUGCUGGGAACUGUGCUGUCCUUUAAGAGACCCCUGGGAAAUGCAGAAAGGCGUUUCCAGUACAGAUCGAUUGAGGUCCCUCACAGGUCUGUUGCAGGAGAACAGAACACGGAUUUUGGUAAAGGGACAGGGUUUUAUAGGUCUUUGAGAACAAGUCCUAUAGUAGGGGCUCACAGGAGGAGGGAAGGCUGCCUCCUCAGACUGUGGCCCCCAGGGUGGCAGGGUGAAUGGCCAGCUGGGAUCCAGGGCUCAGCUCAGUCAAACCACUACCAAAAGAAAAGAGAAUUCCUGGCCUGUGAUUGAAAUGUCACUCUGCCCGUACCCACAGGCCUCGGCUUCUACAGAUUGCUGCCCGCCAGACUCUGCUCCCCCUGUAGGGUGAGGGGACUUGCAGUGGGGUCCCACUGCAAACCAGCCUCCCCUCCCCCACGGCCUCUCUCAGGCACUCUUGGAGAACUAACCAGGCUACUGAGAUGUCUCCCCAUUUCCCAUCCUGUUUCCUUUAGUGUACAAUCCAUCCAUGUGGGAAAGAGGAGCUGGAAGCGUUGCCCACGUUAAAUGGUACCAACGUGGCCCUCUGUGGCCACCUGCUGGAAGUUUCACAUGCAAAUAAGGAGCUCUAGGAGAAACAGGGUGGUAGAGGGUGGUGGGGUCAUAGGUCACUCUCUGCGUCUAAAGCACAAGGUAACAGAAACACUGGAUGGAAAGAAUCCAGAUAAGGGGGGUUGGGGAUAAGUGGAUAUUAAAUGACAUUUUUCAGUGUCAUGGGCUUGACUCACUUGUGUUUUAAGGAAGCGUUUCUGUUUAUGAGUCCUGCUAAAUAACAUAUCAAGUUCUUUUAUGAGUGCUUUCCUGCAAAUUAGGCUGGAAAGAAAAUAUUGUUACUUUGUAGCAAAUGUGUGCAAGUUGCAUUGUUGAAAGAUAAACGAUGGAUUUGAUCCUGUGUCUGAAACUAAGCGGGUCCUGGCGUCUGCAACAGAAACCAUGCAGAAAGCUUGCAACCCUUCAGCUGCAUGGAGAGGGAAGUGACUAAGUGGGAGAAAACAAAUCUCAA
This 2621-nucleotide long non-coding RNA is filed under the name Marmota monax (woodchuck). Lineage: Eukaryota; Metazoa; Chordata; Mammalia; Rodentia; Sciuridae. The record is from RNAcentral.